RNAcentral lists this long non-coding RNA (1964 nucleotides) under Brassica napus (rape). RNAcentral's name for it is "long non-coding RNA (BNAP_LNC001058)". The record is from RNAcentral. Lineage: Eukaryota; Viridiplantae; Streptophyta; Magnoliopsida; Brassicales; Brassicaceae.
AAGAUCUAACCAAAAAUAUUAUAUACAACAACAACAACAACAAAAGAUCACGGUUAGAGGAGAGCAAUAGAUCUAACCUCAUUUAUAUACAACAAGAACAACUACAAAAGAUCUUCUGAGAGAUGAUGAAGAAAAAUCUUACAUGCACAAGCAGGCAUGGGAGGAGCUUUGAGUUGGCAAGCAUCGGGAAGAGUACCGGCUUUAGUGAGGUUCAGAUUGAUUCCCGCGGCGGCACUGCUCUUCAACCCUUCGCACAGACAUUCAGCUUUCGUGUCGAGCACGGUUUUGAUAACAGAGCAACACGCGGUCUCGGGCUUCUCCACUUGACUACCGAUCGUCACGAAAGGCAAACACUUCGUCAAGGUCAUUAUCAUGGCGGAGCAUUCGACGGACUGUGCAGUGUUUCCGUUAACAGAAAGAGAGGAAACAAAGAGGAAGAGGAGGAGGAGAGGAAGCGCGGCGGAGAAGAGGGCCAUUGUUUGAUUAUCUGUUGUUGUUGUUUUAACUCGUCUGAUCACUUAGAGAGAAAUGUGUAAGAGAAUGAGAAGAAGGGUAGUGUUAUUUAUAUAGGUCUGAUCUUAGGUCAUGUUAAAACGGUGUAGUUUUCGCGUACGCGUUUAGUGGAUUAUUAUGGGAAUCUCAAUGAAAUAACUUGACCAUUUUAAUUUGAUUUGAUCCUUUAAGUUAAUCAACAUUUGUCAUUAAAGAGUUUUAUUUUGAAUAAUUGAUUUAUUACCUAAAAUUGCUUUAUUGGAAGAAUAUUGAAGUAGAAACAAAGAGAAAGUCCAAGUAAAAUAUAUUCUUCACACGCUUUCCUUAAAUUGUAGUAUUUCGUUUUCAAACUUUUUUGCUAUCAUACCAUAUUCGUCGUGUAUUCGUGUCAGUGCUUGCUGUAUUCCAAUCUUUUUAUUUUGUAACUAUCUUGGGUUUGAGUGUAUAAAUAUUAAUGUUUGACUACAGUAAACAACUCUUUUAAAAAUAUAUACAUAGCUGUAAGUUUAGGCAAAACAACUCAAGAAUAUCAUCAUUUAUGUUUUAUUCUAUUUAGUAAUUAGCAUAAAUACAACAAAUCCUAAAGAAAAAAAUAUCUAAGAAUUAAUUUAAGUUUGAGCUCUUUUUAGGGAUCCAUUUAGUGGUCUAGCAGCAGGAACUGGAGCUGUUACAAAAAAAAAAACAUAGUAGACGAUAGUCAAAACACAUAGUCAAAGUUGAUACAUCAACAUGCAUUAACACCAUUUUUAUCGUAAUGUCUAUUGACUUUACAGUUCCCCUACUUUAUUGUUAUAAUAAAGUGAAACAAAACAUGCUUCAAGCAAGAGAAGUCCAAAGAUCCAAAGCGUGAAAAAAUCAGAAAUUUCACAAACCAUGAAAAUAAAUAACAAUGGUAAAAAAAAAAAAGAAAUUUGAUUAUUAAUCCAAAAGUAAAUAUUUUCAGAUGGCAUGCAAAAUAAAAUUAAAAAAGACCAAAGAAACUAAAGAUUGAUUUACGAUGAAAUCAACAAAGAGAAAGAGAAUAUACCUGGCGCACUAGCAGGGGGUUUAGCAAACACUGCAACACAACAACAACAACAACAACAAAGAUCUCUGUUAGAGAAGAGCACAAGAUCUAACCAAAAAUAUUAUAUACAACAACAACAACAACAAAAGAUCACGGUUAGAGGAGAGCAAUAGAUCUAACCUCAUUUAUAUACAACAAGAACAACUACAAAAGAUCUUCUGAGAGAUGAUGAAGAAAAAUCUUACAUGCACAAGCAGGCAUGGGAGGAGCUUUGAGUUGGCAAGCAUCGGGAAGAGUACCGGCUUUAGUGAGGUUCAGAUUGAUUCCCGCGGCGGCACUGCUCUUCAACCCUUCGCACAGACAUUCAGCUUUCGUGUCGAGCACGGUUUUGAUAACAGAGCAACACGCGGUCUCGGGCUUCUCCACUUGACUACCGAUCGUCACGAAAGGCAAACACUUCGUCAAG